Galeopterus variegatus (Sunda flying lemur) is the source of this 637-nucleotide long non-coding RNA. RefSeq lists it as uncharacterized. The transcript is spliced from 3 exons. The record is from RefSeq and is a predicted model, not a curated record. Lineage: Eukaryota; Metazoa; Chordata; Mammalia; Dermoptera; Cynocephalidae.
CAAUGACGGUGGCAGGCGGGGCCGGCAAGGGGCCGUCUCCCCUUCUCACCCCUUCCUCUGCUGGGACCCGGGGGUCCCCGAGACGAGGAGAAAGGUCUCCCUCCCUGCCCGGGACCCGAGAGCCCUUGAGCACCGAGGGGACUGACGCACAGAUGGGGGACAGCGAGACAACGACCAGAUGAGCAGGGGAGGGACAUAGCAAGAACACACUACCUCUCGUCGCGUGGUUUGAGGAUUCCAUGAAUCAAUAAUGAGACAAUGACUGGCACAUCUCGGUACCCCAAGGAGAAAUGGGGUCUAGGAGGUUUUCCCUGUGGUCUGAGCCCAGGAUGGGAAGGAGGUGGCUGCCUGAUCACACCACGGACACCAUGCUGCCGAGUCAAGCCGACUUCCUCAGUUGUCGCUGUCCUCGACCUCUGUGUAGCAUCUGACACCUUUGCCUACUUCCUCCUUGGUGUCAGGACACUACACUUAGUUGUCUCUCCUUCUCAGUCUUCUUUGUGAGACUGAGACAGCUUCUGCCUCUCAAGUGCUAUCCUCGGCAGGCUGGUUAGCUCAGUUGGUUAGAGCACAGUGUUACAACACCAAGGUCAAGAAUUAGGAUCCCCAGACUUGCCAGCUGCCAUAAUAAUAAUAA